This 429-nucleotide ribosomal RNA is filed under the name Chloroflexota bacterium. Its description in RNAcentral is "Chloroflexi bacterium partial 16S ribosomal RNA". It matches the Rfam family "Bacterial small subunit ribosomal RNA", at positions 355 to 776 of the family's 1533-position model. Lineage: Bacteria; Bacillati; Chloroflexota. The record is from RNAcentral.
UUGGGAAUAUUGCACAAUGUUCGCAAGCCUGAUGCAGCCAUGCCGCGUGUUUGAAGAAGUCCUUCGGGUUGUAAAGCACUUUCAGCGGGGAGGAAGGCGUUAAGGUUAAUAACCUUGGCGAUUGACGUUACCCGCAGAAGAAGCACCGGCUAACUCCGUGCCCGCAGCCGCGGUAAUACGGAGGGUGCAAUCGUUAAUCGGAAUUACUGGGCGUAAAGCGCACGCAGGCGGUCUGUCAAGUCGGAUGUGAAAUCCCCGGGCUCAACCUGGGAACUGCAUUCGAAACUGGAAGGCUAGAGUCUUGUAGAGGGGGGUAGAAUUCCAGGUGUAGCGGUGAAAUGCGUAGAGAUCUGGAGGAAUACCGGUGGAGAAGGCGGCCCCCUGGACAAAGACUGACGCUCAGGUGCGAAAGCGUGGGGAGCAAACAGG